UACAGAGGGAGCUAGCGUUGUUCGGAAUUACUGGGCGUAAAGCGCACGUAGGCGGCGAUUCAAGUCAGAGGUGAAAGCCCGGGGCUCAACCCCGGAACUGCCUUUGAAACUAGAUUGCUAGAAUCCUGGAGAGGUUAGUGGAAUUCCGAGUGUAGAGGUGAAAUUCGUAGAUAUUCGGAAGAACACCAGUGGCGAAGGCGACUAACUGGACAGGUAUUGACGCUGAGGUGCGAAAGCGUGGGGAGCAAACAGG
Molecule: ribosomal RNA, 253 nt
Filed under: uncultured bacterium
Lineage: Bacteria
Description: partial 16S ribosomal RNA
Rfam family: Bacterial small subunit ribosomal RNA
Source: RNAcentral